RNAcentral lists this ribosomal RNA (429 nucleotides) under Pseudomonadota bacterium. RNAcentral's name for it is "Proteobacteria bacterium partial 16S ribosomal RNA". It matches the Rfam family "Bacterial small subunit ribosomal RNA", at positions 355 to 776 of the family's 1533-position model. The record is from RNAcentral. Lineage: Bacteria; Pseudomonadati; Pseudomonadota.
UGGGUAAUAUUGGACAAUGGGCGAAAGCCUGAUCCAGCCAUGCCGCGUGUGUGAAGAAGGUCUUCGGAUUGUAAAGCACUUUAAGUUGGGAGGAAGGGCAGUAAGCGAAUACCUUGCUGUUUUUACGUUACCGACAGAAUAAGCACCGGCUAACUCUGUGCCAGCAGCCGCGGUAAUACAGAGGGUGCAAGCGUUAAUCGGAAUUACUGGGCGUAAAGCGCGCGUAGGUGGUUCGUUAAGUUGAAUGUGAAAGCACCGGGCUCAACCUGGGAACUGCAGCCAAGACUGGCGAGCUAGAGUAGGGCAGAGGGUGGUGGAAUUUCCUGUGGAGCGGUGAAAUGCGUAGAUAUAGGAAGGAACACCAGUGGAGAAGGCGACCACCUGGGCUCAUACUGACGAUGAGGUGCGAAAGCGUGGGGAGCAAACAGG